This 547-nucleotide ribosomal RNA is filed under the name uncultured bacterium. RNAcentral's name for it is "bacterial SSU rRNA". It matches the Rfam family "Bacterial small subunit ribosomal RNA", at positions 355 to 896 of the family's 1533-position model. The record is from RNAcentral.
UAGGGAAUCUUCCGCAAUGGGCGAAAGCCUGACGGAGCAACGCCGCGUGAGUGAAGAAGGAUUUCGGUUCGUAAAGCUCUGUUGUUAGGGAAGAAUGAUUGUGUAGUAACUAUACACAGUAGAGACGGUACCUAACCAGAAAGCCACGGCUAACUACGUGCCAGCAGCCGCGGUAAUACGUAGGUGGCAAGCGUUGUCCGGAAUUAUUGGGCGUAAAGCGCGCGCAGGUGGUUUAAUAAGUCUGAUGUGAAAGCCCACGGCUCAACCGUGGAGGGUCAUUGGAAACUGUUAAACUUGAGUGCAGGAGAGAAAAGUGGAAUUCCUAGUGUAGCGGUGAAAUGCGUAGAGAUUAGGAGGAACACCAGUGGCGAAGGCGGCUUUUGGCCUGUAACUGACACUGAGGCGCGAAAGCGUGGGGAGCAAACAGGAUUAGAUACCCUGGUAGUCCACGCCGUAAACGAUGAGUGCUAAGUGUUGGUCUCAUAAGAGAUCAGUGCUGCAGCUAACGCAUUAAGCACUCCGCCUGGGGAGUACGACCGCAAGGUUG